Molecule: ribosomal RNA, 686 nt
Filed under: uncultured Acidobacteriota bacterium
Lineage: Bacteria; Pseudomonadati; Acidobacteriota
Description: bacterial SSU rRNA
Rfam family: Bacterial small subunit ribosomal RNA
Source: RNAcentral
GUCGAGUGCGCGCCUGUAGCAAUACAGGUGGCGCACGGCGCACGGGUGCGUAACACGUGGGUAAUCUGCCCUUCGAAGGGGAAUAACUCGCCGAAAGGCGAGCUAAUUCCGCAUAACAUUCCAAGAACUUUGGUUUUUGGACUCAAAGGCGUAAGUCGUCGGAGGAGGAGCCCGCGCACGAUUAGCUAGUUGGUAGGGUAACGGCCUACCAAGGCUAUGAUCGUUAGCUGGUCUGAGAGGAUGGCCAGCCACACUGGAACUGAGACACGGUCCAGACUCCUACGGGAGGCAGCAGUGGGGAAUCUUGCACAAUGGGCGAAAGCCUGAUGCAGCGACGCCGCGUGGGGGAUGAAGCUUCUCGGAGUGUAAACCCCUUUCGACCCGGACGAAUGCCCCGCAAGGGGACUGACGGUACGGGUAUAAGAAGCCCCGGCUAACUACGUGCCAGCAGCCGCGGUAAGACGUAGGGGGCCAGCGUUGCUCGGAAUUACUGGGUGUAAAGGGUUCGUAGGCGGUGUGGCAAGUCGGGAGUGAAAUCUCUGGGCUCAACCCAGAGUCUGCUUCCGAAACUGCUGUGCUUGAGUGUGGGAGAGGCGCGUGGAAUUGCAGGUGUAGCGGUGAAAUGCGUAGAUAUCUGCAGGAACACCCGUGGCGAAAGCGGCGCGCUGGACCACUACUGACGCUGA